GGGAGGUGGUGGCAGGAGCUGGUGGAAUGCGUCAGGUUUGAGGGGCUGAGUGAACACACGUGGAGCUAUGGACGAGGCAGCCGGGGUGACUCAUGGUCAGCGUGGGGUCCAGACCUCAGAUAGAAACUGGGGUAUUAUCAGCCUUAGAUGGCAUCUCAGGCAGGAGCUGAGACGGGCUUGCCAAGGGCACGAGUGUAGAUGGAUGAGAGGAGAGGCCCAGCACCAGCCUGGGUGCCUGAGGGUGGGGCAGUGAGGAGUGGCUGGGGAGGACAAGGGGACCUGCAAGCUGUCACAGUGGCCUGGCUCGGCACCUCUCACACUGUAAUAGACUGCAGAAUCGAGCCUGGGAACUUGCUUAGAAAGCAGACUUCUGGCUGCUACCGAGAAAUCCUGAUUCUGAAAUGUAUGACUUAGGGCAUGCUGAGCUAUUGCAAUAAGAAGGCCCCCAAAACAGGUCUGCUUCUCUGGGGUCAGGUGUGCAAGCUGGCAUUUUCCUCACGCUCCAGGGCGUGUUCUUAGCAGAGUGUCCAGUGACAACCCCUCUGGACACUGUCACUGUGCCAUGUGCCUGGGCACGCUCCCCAUGGGGCUGAAAACCCCUUGGGAACAGGAACUGUCUGGUAACUCGGGGCCCGGUCCCACUGCACCCCCUCCCACAACUGAAGGAGAUUCAGACCCCUGCAUGCAGCAGCCCCUGACCCCCCCACCCCCACCCCCGACUCCACCAGCAGCGCUCUGCUGCCCUCCCGGGAAAAUGAGGAACCAGAGGUUUCCCAACAACUUGGAGAGAAAUCACACUUCUCUUCAAAGGAAUUAAAAUCAUGCCCACAUCAUUCUCCAUCCCAUGUCCAAGCAAACCCUCUUCUGUGAAAGCGUAAGGAAAAGAAAAGACACCCUCCUUCCGCCUCUGCGACACCAAAGCCAAACCAUCCUGUGGAUGGGAUGGGGCGGGGGGUGGAGGCUCUUGGGGGGCCGCCGGCUCCCCGUCAUGUUAGGCCCGAUGGAGAAUGGCCUCGUGAUGCCUGCCUUUCUCCCAGGCCUGCCUCCUGUCCAACCGGCAUGGUUCACGUUAAGGAAAAUAAACGCAGUCUGUCCCGGAGGCCACACCGUGGCUGUGUGGUUGUGUUAGGCUGUGGCGACAGCGGAGAGGAGGAGGCCGAGGGCUGGAGCAGAGCCUGGCCGUGGUUCUGAGGGGUUCACCUUCAGAGGAAGGCGCUUUCCGGGCUGUUGCCAACACGGGCUUUGGGACAACUUGAGGCCGUCUCAGUUCUCCCUGCACCGCGGGGAUAACGCGCCAGAUGAAGGGGCUUUUUUUCUUCCUCUUCUGCCACCAAUGCCUCCUCCUCCUCCUCCUCUUCUUCUUUUUUGUGUUGUUUAAAAUUUUCCUGCUAGUAGCCGUCCUUCCUGGAAGAGCAGCAUCUGAGAAUCCAAGGGCUGGGUGUGACUUUGAGACAGGGAACUGCCUGUCCUUCGCCGGGCGAGCAUCUGACCGCCUGAGCCGGGGCUGGUCUCUGUUAGCACCCUGCCCGGGACACAGAUGCCGGCGUUUUGCUUUAUACCUCGUCCUCACCACUCCCCACCAUCCUCCCUCCUGUAAUUAAGUGCAGGACCUGUGGUUGGGUCUCGGGCGGGUUUGGGAGAUACAGAUUUGCACUCGCUUCCUGUUGCUGGAUGCAGGUUGACUCCUUGAGCUCCUGGUGAGGCUGGAGCAGAGCUGAGAGCUGGGCAGUCUGCCUUCCGGCAGCCCAUCCUGUAACUGGCAGCUUCAUGGGCCGGCGUGGUACGGUCUGUCAGUGGUCCAUGGCUCCAGGACCACCCUGGGGCACCUGGCCAGCCUAGGUGCCUCCCUCCUAUCACCCGGGCCCUGUACGUAAGUCUCCCCUCCCUUACAAAGGGCCUUGGGGAUGCUGCAGGCCUCAGGCUGCUCGGGCACCAAGGCCCACUUCACAGGCCCCUGGACCCUGAGAACUGCUGUGUAACCCAUCACUAGCAGGGAUCUCAGACCUCGUCGAGGGGGAGGGUCACACAGGCUGAACGGGGUUACCUCGGGGGAAGCAGCCCCGAUUAAAUCCCAAAUGAGGAGGAAGAGGGCUGUGCUGGGGCGAGUGAGAGGGGGAAGGACCAGACACAGCGGACCCCAGCACUAGCUGCGAGGGGCUCAGCCACUGCCGACUCUCUGGGAGGCCCUGUCUCCCCAGAGCUUGCGUUCCUGACAUAGAUCUAAACCCAGCAUGUCAUAUGCCAUCACCGAAAUAACAACCAGAUUGCAUGCAAGAUCGAAAAAAUUCUUUUAGGAGUUCCUGUCGUGGCUCAGCAGUUAACGAACCUGGCUAGGAACCAUGAGGUUUGCGGGUUCAAUCCCUGGCCUCGAGCACAGUGGGUUAAAGAUCUGGCGUUGCUGUGGCUCUGGCCUAGGCCGGCAGCUACAGCUCUGAUUGGACCCCUGGCCUGGGAACCUCCGUGUGCUGCAGCUGCGGCCCU
RNAcentral lists this long non-coding RNA (2481 nucleotides) under Sus scrofa (pig). Its description in RNAcentral is "lncRNA (ENSSSCG00015057709.1)". Lineage: Eukaryota; Metazoa; Chordata; Mammalia; Artiodactyla; Suidae. The record is from RNAcentral.